This 791-nucleotide ribosomal RNA is filed under the name uncultured bacterium. RNAcentral describes it as "bacterial SSU rRNA". It matches the Rfam family "Bacterial small subunit ribosomal RNA", at positions 8 to 796 of the family's 1533-position model. The record is from RNAcentral.
AGAGUUUGAUCCUGGCUCAGAUUGAACGCUGGCGGCAUGCCUUACACAUGCAAGUCGAACGGCAGCACGGGGGCAACCCUGGUGGCGAGUGGCGAACGGGUGAGUAAUACAUCGGAACGUGUCCUGUAGUGGGGGAUAGCCCGGCGAAAGCCGGAUUAAUACCGCAUACGCUCUACGGAGGAAAGGGGGGGAUCUCAGGACCUCCCGCUACAGGGGCGGCCGAUGGCAGAUUAGCUAGUUGGUGGGGUAAAGGCCUACCAAGGCGACGAUCUGUAGCUGGUCUGAGAGGACGACCAGCCACACUGGGACUGAGACACGGCCCAGACUCCUACGGGAGGCAGCAGUGGGGAAUUUUGGACAAUGGGCGAAAGCCUGAUCCAGCAAUGCCGCGUGUGUGAAGAAGGCCUUCGGGUUGUAAAGCACUUUUGUCCGGAAAGAAAACCUCCGCCCUAAUAUGGUGGGGGGAUGACGGUACCGGAAGAAUAAGCACCGGCUAACUACGUGCCAGCAGCCGCGGUAAUACGUAGGGUGCAAGCGUUAAUCGGAAUUACUGGGCGUAAAGCGUGCGCAGGCGGUCCGUUAAGACAGAUGUGAAAUCCCCGGGCUUAACCUGGGAACUGCAUUUGUGACUGGCGGGCUAGAGUAUGGCAGAGGGGGGUAGAAUUCCACGUAGCAGUGAAAUGCGUAGAGAUGUGGAGGAAUACCGAUGGCGAAGGCAGCCCCCUGGGCCAAUACUGACGCUCAUGCACGAAAGCGUGGGGAGCAAACAGGAUUAGAUACCCUAGUAGUCC